This 492-nucleotide ribosomal RNA is filed under the name uncultured bacterium. Its description in RNAcentral is "partial 16S ribosomal RNA". It matches the Rfam family "Bacterial small subunit ribosomal RNA", at positions 30 to 507 of the family's 1533-position model. The record is from RNAcentral.
AUUGAACGCUGGCGGCAUGCUUUACACAUGCAAGUCGAACGGUAACAGGCCUUCGGGUGCUGACGAGUGGCGAACGGGUGAGUAAUGCAUCGGAACGUACCCAGAGGUGGGGGAUAACGCAGCGAAAGCUGUGCUAAUACUGCAUGUGAUCUGAGGAUGAAAGCGGGGGACUUAGCUGCAAUGUUUGACCUCGCGCCUUUGGAGCGGCCGCUGUCGGAUUAGCUAGUUGGGGGGGUAAAGGCCUACCAAGGCGACGAUCCGUAGCUGGUCUGAGAGGACGACCGGCAACACUGGGACUGAGACACGGCCCAGACUCCUACGGGAGGAAGCAGUGGGGAAUUUUGGACAAUGGGCGCAAGCCUGAUCCAGCAAUGCCGCGUGCGGGAAGAAGGCCUUCGGGUUGUAAACCGCUUUUGGCAGGAACGAAACGGUGUCCGCUAAUACCGGGCGCUAAUGACGGUACCUUCAGAAUAAGCACCGGCUAACUACGUG